GCCAGGUGUGGUGGCACACACCUGUAGUCCCAGCUACUUGGGAGGCUGAGGUGGGAGGAUUGCUUGAGCCUGGGAGGUUGAGGCUACAGUGAACUAUGAUCAUGCCACUGCUCUCCAGCCUGGGCAACAGAGCAAGACCCUAUCUCAA
Unclassified non-coding RNA from Macaca fascicularis (crab-eating macaque), 148 nucleotides. It matches the Rfam family "Metazoan signal recognition particle RNA". From Rfam's summary of the family: The signal recognition particle (SRP) is a universally conserved ribonucleoprotein. It is involved in the co-translational targeting of proteins to membranes. The eukaryotic SRP consists of a 300-nucleotide 7S RNA and six proteins: SRPs 72, 68, 54, 19, 14, and 9. The record is from Ensembl. Lineage: Eukaryota; Metazoa; Chordata; Mammalia; Primates; Cercopithecidae.